CGAUGAUUAUCUAGCUUGCUAGAUAUGAUUAGUGGCGGACGGGUGAGUAACAUUUAGGAAUCUGCCUAGUAGUGGGGGAUAGCUCGGGGAAACUCGAAUUAAUACCGCAUACGACCUACGGGUGAAAGGGGGCGCAAGCUCUUGCUAUUAGAUGAGCCUAAAUCAGAUUAGCUAGUUGGUGGGGUAAAGGCCCACCAAGGCGACGAUCUGUAACUGGUCUGAGAGGAUGAUCAGUCACACCGGAACUGAGACACGGUCCGGACUCCUACGGGAGGCAGCAGUGGGGAAUAUUGGACAAUGGGGGCAACCCUGAUCCAGCCAUGCCGCGUGUGUGAAGAAGGCCUUUUGGUUGUAAAGCACUUUAAGCAGGGAGGAGAGGCUAAUGGUUAAUACCCAUUAGAUUAGACGUUACCUGCAGAAUAAGCACCGGCUAACUCUGUGCCAGCAGCCGCGGUAAUACAGAGGGUGCGAGCGUUAAUCGGAAUUACUGGGCGUAAAGCGAGUGUAGGUGGCUCAUUAAGUCACAUGUGAAAUCCCCGGGCUUAACCUGGGAACUGCAUGUGAUACUGGUGGUGCUAGAAUAUGUGAGAGGGAAGUAGAAUUCCAGGUGUAGCGGUGAAAUGCGUAGAGAUCUGGAGGAAUACCGAUGGCGAAGGCAGCUUCCUGGCAUAAUAUUGACACUGAGAUUCGAAAGCGUGGGUAGCAAACAGGAUUAGAUACCCUGGUAGUCCACGCCGUAAACGAUGUCUACUAGCCGUUGGGGUCCUUGAGACUUUAGUGGCGCAGUUAACGCGAUAAGUAGACCGCCUGGGGGAGUACGGCCGCAAGGUUAAAACUCAAAUGAAUUGACGGGGGCCCGCACAAGCGGUGGGAGCAUGUGGGUUUAAUUCGAUGCAACGCCGAAGAACCUUACCUGG
Molecule: ribosomal RNA, 917 nt
Filed under: Faucicola osloensis
Lineage: Bacteria; Pseudomonadati; Pseudomonadota; Gammaproteobacteria; Moraxellales; Moraxellaceae
Description: bacterial SSU rRNA
Rfam family: Bacterial small subunit ribosomal RNA
Source: RNAcentral